Gadus morhua (Atlantic cod) is the source of this 1030-nucleotide long non-coding RNA. The record is from Ensembl. Lineage: Eukaryota; Metazoa; Chordata; Actinopteri; Gadiformes; Gadidae.
CACGACAUCCGUGCCCAUAGAGAAUUCUAUCGGCUUCCAGAGAGUACCCUUCAGCUCGCAAAAGUCAGCAAACUCCUGAUAUCACUCGAAAAAGGAAGACUGCCUUACCUGCAGGGGAAAGGGCUGGAUGACAUUGAGGUCAAUCCUGAAGAUGAAGUAGAAAUGAGUGAUGAUUCCAGCGAAGAAAACGUUGCUGACCUACAUCAAUGCAAAGGCUCAAUAACUGAGACUGCCAGGGACCAGACACUUCUGAGGCAUACUCCUGAGUCAACCAGCCUGGACAACAUGGAGGGCACUUCCGAGGCAACCACCCUGGACAACAUGGAGGGCACUUCCGAGUCAACCACCCUGGACAACAUGGAGGGCACUUCCGAGUCAACCACCCUGGACAACAUGGAGGGCACUUCCGAGUCAACCACCCUGGACAACAUGGAGGGCACUUCCGAGUCAACCACCCUGGACAAUAUGGAGGGCACAUCUGAGUCAACCAGCCUGGACAAUAUGGAGGGCACUUCCGAGUCAACCACCCUGGACAACAUGGAGGGCACUCCUGAAUCAACCACCUUGGAUGACGUAAACAUGAGUCACAAAAUUGUCACAUCCCAAGCUUCUUCAAAGGGCUCCAAAAGAAAGCAAGCUGUGAAGGUGAGAAGCAAGUGGACGGGUGAGGAAGUGAAGGCUGUUGAGCGGCAUUUGCUUAACUUCAUUACAAGCUGCAGAAUACCUGGUAAAAAGGACUGUGACUCCUGCCUCCAGGCAGAGCCAGUAGCUCUGAAAGACCGAGACUGGGUUGCCAUCAGGUACUACGUACACAACAGAAACGUAGCAUUAAAAAGGAAGAUGACUAGGUAGAUCCAUUCCAAUUGAUCUUGUUUUUUGCUUGUAUUUUUUUUGCUGGCACUCAAUAAAAGUAAGAAAUGCAAAAAGUGUUCCGCCUUUUUUUAUUACGUGAAUAUUUGCUACAAAUUUUUAUAUAUUGUCACAAAUAACAAUAAUACGACUUAAACAGAGAAUAUAUAAUAUUUAAGAG